Molecule: ribosomal RNA, 443 nt
Filed under: uncultured bacterium
Lineage: Bacteria
Description: partial 16S ribosomal RNA
Rfam family: Bacterial small subunit ribosomal RNA
Source: RNAcentral
CCUACGGGAGGCAGCAGUGGGGAAUAUUGGGCAAUGGGCGCAAGCCUGACCCAGCCACGCCGCGUGAAGGAAGAAGGCUUUCGGGUUGUAAACUUCUUUUCUGAGGGACGAAGAAAGUGACGGUACCGCAGGAAUAAGCCACGGCUAACUACGUGCCAGCAGCCGCGGUAAUACGUAGGUGGCAAGUGUUAUCCGGAUUUAUUGGGUGUAAGGGGCGUGUAGGCGGGAAAGUAAGUCAGAUGUGAAAACUCAGGGCUCAACCCUGAGCCUGCAUUUGACACUGUUUUUCUUGAGUGCUGGAGAGGCAAUCGGAAUUCCGGGUGUAGCGGUGAAAUGCGUAGAUAUACGGAGGAACACCAGUGGCGAAGGCGGAUUGCUGGACAGUAACUGACGCUGAGGCGCGAAAGCGUGGGGAGCAAACAGGAUUAGAUACCCGGGUAGUC